UAGUCACUUUAUUAAAUAAUGUGAGAAACUCUAUAUUUUUUGCGAAUAGACCUGAAGAUGAAUUAUGAAAAGGUGUGACAAGUAUCAGUAAUGCAGGAAGACGCAGAGGUAGAGCAAGAAGAGUAGUGAAAAGAGAGAACUCCUAAAUAAGGAGCAAAUUAUUGGCAUGGGAAAAAUUCCGAUACAAUUUCCUGGUCUAAACACUCCUGUGUUUAGAGGAAAAGAAUUAAUUCAACAGCAAAAACUGCUUGUAAAUCUUGAAAGAAAGCAAAAACUUAUGGAAUUAUCACAAAGUCAGACCAGAUCAAUGCAAAUAAAAUUAUUGCCAUUGGAUAUGGUUGGACGAGUGUUACAAUGGAUGGCAGAAGCAUUGAAUCAGAUCUUAGUGGAAAAGAUUAAUAUUUAUGCUAUUACUGAAUUAUAAUGGUUAAAUCACACACAUACAAAAAUCAUAUACAUUUGAAAGUUUUGAAACCUGGAUUUUGGAAAACAAAAUGAUAACUUGUAUGACCGGUAAUUUAGCACGUAAGACUAGAAUCAGUUCAUUUAUAGUAACUGGAAAUGGAAAUGGAUUAGCUGGAUUUGCGUUAUCAAAAGCCAAAGCAUCCCUAAAGACGGUUAAAAAUAGGGCUGGUCAAAGACUAAUGUAUAUUCCUACAUAUAAGGAAUACACUGUAUUACAUGAUUUCUUUACACAGUUUGAGAAUAUAAAAAUAUUUGUAAAGAAAAUUCAUGAAGGAUAAUGGGCUUGUUUGUCAUCAUGCGAUAAAAGCGUGUUGCGAGAUAAUUGGCAUAAAGGAUAUGUAUGCCAAAGUAUAAGGAGGAAUGUAAAACCAUUCUUUACUGGUUUUGCAACAGAUAUGUAUAUAAAUGAUACAGAAGCAACAUUACAAGUACUAUAUUUACAGAUAACAUCUGUAUAAUAAAAAAACC
This is a long non-coding RNA of Camponotus floridanus (Florida carpenter ant), 933 nucleotides long. RefSeq lists it as uncharacterized. The record is from RefSeq and is a predicted model, not a curated record. The transcript has 5 exons. NCBI's taxonomy places the organism in Eukaryota, Metazoa, Arthropoda, Insecta, Hymenoptera, Formicidae.